GAUGAAGAACGUAGCGAAAUGCGAUAAGUAAUGUGAAUUGCAGAAUUCAGUGAAUCAUCGAAUCUUUGAACGCACAUUGCGCCCCCUGGUAUUCCGGGGGGCAUGCCUGUUCGAGCGUCAUUUCACCACUCAAGCCUCGCUUGGUAUUGGGCAACGCGGUCCGCCGCGUGCCUCAAAUCGACCGGCUGGGUCUUCUGUCCCCUAAGCGUUGUGGAAACUAUUCGCUAAAGGGUGUUCGGGAGGCUACGCCGUAAAACACCCCCAUUUCUAAGGUUGACCUCGGAUCAGGUAGGGAUACCCGCUGAACUUAAGCAUAUCAAUAAGCGGAGGA
Molecule: unclassified non-coding RNA, 331 nt
Filed under: soil metagenome
Description: partial contains 5.8S ribosomal RNA, internal transcribed spacer 2, and large subunit ribosomal RNA
Rfam family: 5.8S ribosomal RNA (bases 1-120)
Source: RNAcentral